Long non-coding RNA from Amaranthus tricolor (Joseph's coat), 704 nucleotides. RefSeq lists it as uncharacterized. Lineage: Eukaryota; Viridiplantae; Streptophyta; Magnoliopsida; Caryophyllales; Amaranthaceae. The transcript is spliced from 2 exons. The record is from RefSeq and is a predicted model, not a curated record.
CAUGAUCUUCAUCACCAUGAUUUUUAUCCCUAUCCUACUUUAUUAUCUUAAAGUCAUGAUCAAAUACUCUUUCCCAUUAUACUUUGUUCUCCCAUUCUCCUCAUCUUAUCAUGUAGUAUAUAAAAGAAGGUAGAGACUCUUUGCACUAAACUUCUUUCUUAGCUAAAGGAAAACUCUUGUAAAAGACUCCCAAAUAACCCAAAAAAUCAAGGGAAAAAAUCCUUUGUAAUUCCAAUUCAAAAUAGUUUUAUGUCGAGUGAAAAGAAAGACCAACCUAUAAUUCUCAUCUUAAUUCAAUAUUAAUUUUUUUAUUUUCGGGUGGUGAUCAAGAAGAUAAAUUAGUGUAAAAAUGGAGUCAAAUGAAGGAGGAAUGAAGAUAGAAAUUCCAGAAAAUAAUUCAACAAGUCCAAGAGGAUUAACAAGGCAAGCUAGCAAUGGAAGUUCAAAAGUAAGCAGUUGUCUUUGUUCUCCAACUACUCAUGCUGGCUCUUUUAGAUGCCGUCUUCAUCGAUCUCCAACCCUUCAACGCACCAAAAGUGUUGAUCCUCCUGCAUCUUCUAAGCCAAAUCAUGCUGCAAUUAAUGUUAUUUAUCAUCAUUUAUGAACUCUAGAUCAUCAUAUGAUUUCAUUGUGAUAAUAUUUACGACAUGAUCAUGUUAAUCAUGUAUGUGUUCUUUUAAUUGAUGAUUAUAUAUGUUUUGCUA